UAGAACUAUUGUUUUAAGUUUUAGUCUUUCUCCUUGGAAAAAAAUUCAUACAUAUUAAUCUAAAUAAUUGCCAGAUAUGGGAUUGUUUAUUGAUUUCAAUGGGAAUAAGAGAAGAGAAAGGUAGACUUUAUCACAUAAAUUGAAGUCAUAUAUUGCAAGGGUCCCAAAAUGAAUCAAUGAAAAUAAGAUACAAAAUUCUUACAAGAAUUUAUUCUUCAACUUCAUUGAUUAAAACGUGGUAGUUGGUACAACAAAUAAAGACACAUUCUAUUUACAUACUUGUCACAUAAAAAUAUUUUUAUUAUUUAUUUUUACAUAAAAAUAUUUUUAUGUGUAAUUUUAGACAUUUAAGCCGACAGAGAAAAGGGAUUAAAACAUGGAUUGAUUAUAAUAAGGGUUUUGUUAAAUUAAUAUGCUUAUAUAUUUCACUUGAUGAACACGUGGCCUGUUUAGGUUCAUAAAAAUAAUUAAACUGAUAAUAAUUGCCUUUAUUAGACUAACCUGGAUGAUUGCUUUGAUGUUGUCAUCAGUUAAAAGAUAUUCAGAAUCUUUUUGUUGAAACUUGAGAAGAACAUCAACUAGAUCCUUGUUACCUUCACAUUUGCCAUCUUUUCUAUUUCUAUGAUCAUCUAUGAUGUCUUGUAAUACUUUAUCAGUCUUUAUAUACAGUUCUUCAAGCUUAGCCUUGUCUCUACUCAUCAUUUCAAGCAGUACUCUAAUUGAAGGAUACAUAUCAGCAAUGCAAUUUCUUCCUCCUAUUUGAAUUGCUUUCUCAAUAGAUGAUGUAAAAAAUUUCUGGUGCAAGAUUUACACUUUAUUAUUCUUAACUAUUUCUUGAGUGGAGUAGUGAUACACACCUGCUUGUUUAUCAGCAGUCAUGGAGAAUGAUGGCAAAGACUCGUAUAAGAAUGGUGAUCAAUAUGAGGAUCUAAGUGUUGAGUAUGAGUGCAGUUCCGAUGAAAAUGAUGAUAUGGUGGAUGUAACGGUAGAUAAAGCAGAGGCAGAUCUAAUUAAUGUUGAUGGUUUUGAAAAGUUGAUAACUGAGUUGACCAUCGAAGACAUAUGGGGAUUGGUGUUUGAUACAGAAUCUCAAGUUUGUGAAUUUUAUGGCAAAUAUGCCAAGUGCUAUGAAUUUGUGUCUCGAAAAGACUUGAAGACACAUAGCACCUUUGUACUAUCGAAGGAGAAAGUGAUUUUUACUAAAGCGUCUAAAGUAAUGAUUGUCGGGUAUGGGUGGCAACCUGGAUGACAAACUAUAAGAAGGCGUAUAGUUAUACAAUAAAUGUUAAUGAUGGUACAAGGAUGCGACUUGCGUUGGAUUUGAUUCUAAGGCCCCACAACUUGAUGCUGCAUAAUGUCAUUGACUCUGCUAGCAGGAAUUACAAUAAGUAUAAUCAAAAGGAUUCAAACAAAAAUUAAAAAAUCGUAAUUGUCAUGUAGACAUGUUUGGUUUAUAUUAAGAUUUGUUAGUUUCAUCUCUUUUACUUUAAAAAUUAUUAUGCACUAUAUUUUCUAUAGAGUCUUUAAAAAUUCAUGUUUCUAUCUUUAGUGCAAUUAUAUUUGAAUUUAGAUGAAAUUCACUGUGAUGUAAGCUAGCCAAAUCCUCGUA
Non-coding RNA from Arachis ipaensis, 1609 nucleotides. The record is from RefSeq and is a predicted model, not a curated record. NCBI's taxonomy places the organism in Eukaryota, Viridiplantae, Streptophyta, Magnoliopsida, Fabales, Fabaceae.